This 466-nucleotide ribosomal RNA is filed under the name uncultured bacterium. RNAcentral describes it as "bacterial SSU rRNA". It matches the Rfam family "Bacterial small subunit ribosomal RNA", at positions 335 to 798 of the family's 1533-position model. The record is from RNAcentral.
ACUCCUACGGGAGGCAGCAGUAGGGAAUAUUGGUCAAUGGACGGAAGUCUGAACCAGCCAUGCCGCGUGCAGGAAGACGGCCUUCUGGGUUGUAAACUGCUUUUAUCAGGGAAGAAUAAGCUUCUUGCGAGAGGUGAUGCCGGUACCUGAGGAAUAAGCACCGGCUAACUCCGUGCCAGCAGCCGCGGUAAUACGGAGGGUGCAAGCGUUGUCCGGAUUUAUUGGGUUUAAAGGGUCCGUAGGCGGAUUAAUAAGUCAGUGGUGAAAUCCCAUCGCUUAACGAUGGAACUGCCAUUGAUACUGUUAGUCUUGAAUGAGGGUGCAGUGGUUGGAAUGUGUAGUGUAGCGGUGAAAUGCAUAGAUAUUACACAGAACACCGAUUGCGAAGGCAGAUCACUAACCCUAAAUUGACGCUGAGGGACGAAAGCGUGGGGAGCGAACAGGAUUAGAUACCCUGUAGGCUCUG